RNA transcript from Macadamia integrifolia, 1245 nucleotides. RefSeq lists it as uncharacterized. The record is from RefSeq and is a predicted model, not a curated record. Lineage: Eukaryota; Viridiplantae; Streptophyta; Magnoliopsida; Proteales; Proteaceae. The transcript has 5 exons.
CUAAUCACUAAACCGUUAGACAGAGAAUGCUCUUCGCCAUCAAAAGCGUGGUGGCCAUGAGCUCAGUCGCUGACUCGCUGCUCUGUCUUGUGUUUUCUCCGUAGAUCGAAAGUCAUGCCCAGCAAGAGAGAAGGCGGCGAUGUCGGUUGCGGUUCCAUUUCCAGUGAGAGUGAAAGCUUCAUGGGAUACACAACCAAGAACGAUUCCGAAUACCAAUCACAGCAGCUUUUCGAAGAACAAAAACCCUAAUGUGCUCCAUCAAUCUACUCCUCAAAGUAGAAUAACAAUCUCAACUACUGCAACCAGAGAACUUUCUGCUUCGGAGCUUCUGGGCUUGAACAGACGCUCCCCUUCUCAAGGGAAAUCGGAAGAAUUAUAUCUGGGUUACGAGAGAUGGUUGCCGGCUGCACCAGAAGUGAAAAAGCCUAGAUCCAUCUAUAAUGCGGCGACGUUAGCAUAUAUGGGGGAUUCUAUUUAUGAGGUUUCUUCUACCAUCUUAGGAGCGUAUGUUGCCACAGCGUCUGUGACUCUGACGAAGAUAUUCUCAUUGCCAAUCAAGUCUGUAAACUUGGAUGCAUGAAGUUUUUCCAUCACCAGCGGCCCAGGAUUCGCUAAGACAAGCUAAGCAAGACAAUUAUGGGACUAAUAAGGUACUUCUGCCAUACAUGAUAAGCACAAGGAAAUAUUCAAGUAUUUAAAUUUCUUUUGUAUUUGAGAGAUGUGCAUCAUAAUUGGCUUACCGUUAAUGCUAUCACACCAGCCACGACACCAACCUUAAUACCUGACACUAGGUACCUGAGGUACGGCAAGGCUAGCUAUGGUGAGUCCGGCGAUGAUAUCUCCUUUCAACUUUGUUAAAUUGUAGUCUCUUCCCCACUCAAAAAUUGGAAAAAUUGAUUGGAGAACUAACAUGAACUUUUUUGACCAAGUUUGGCCUCUGAAUUGGCGUAAAGGAUCAUCUGGAAAGAAAGUUUCCUUGAAAGUUGCUUUGAUUCCCUUGAAGAGAUUUUGUCUGGUAGGCAUUCCCACCCUGUGAACAUAUGGCAAGUCCUCUACAAUUUCCAUCUCCUUUGAAUCAAACUCUUCAAUGGAAUAAUGAGUCAUUUAUUGGAAACAGACACUAUUGAUGAAGUUUCAACACAAAUGGGAUGUAUUCACCUGUACAAACAGAAAAACAAACUGUCACUGAUUGCAAUUUAGAAAUGACAUAUAAAUUUGGUCUAAACUCUAGACCUGGUUUCAGAA